This 403-nucleotide ribosomal RNA is filed under the name uncultured bacterium. RNAcentral describes it as "partial 16S ribosomal RNA". It matches the Rfam family "Bacterial small subunit ribosomal RNA", at positions 28 to 526 of the family's 1533-position model. The record is from RNAcentral.
GACGAACGCUGGCGGCGUGCCUAAUACAUGCAAGUCGAACGCAGUGGGGACGGGUGAGUAACACGUGGGUAACCUCCCAUCAGAGGGGAUAACACUUGGAAACAGGUGCUAAACCGAUACUGAUGGAUGGACCCGCGGUGCAUUAGCUAGUUGGUGAGGUAACGGCUCACCAAGGCCACGAUGCAUAGCCGACCGAGGAGGGUGUUCGACCACAAUGAGACUGAGGAACUGCCGCUCCUCCUACGGAAGACAGCAGGAGGGAAUGGUCGGAAAUGGACGAAAGUCUGACCGGACAACGCCGCUUGAGUGAGUAAGGUUUUCGGAUCGUAAAACUCUGUUGUUAGAGAAGCGGGAUCUAACCAGAAAGCCACGGGUAACUACGUGCCAGCAGCCGCGGUAAUUC